GACGAACGCUGGCGGCGUGCUUAACACAUGCAAGUCGAACGGAAAGGCCCUGCUUUUGUGGGGUGCUCGAGUGGCGAACGGGUGAGUAACACGUGAGUAACCUGCCCUUGACUUUGGGAUAACUUCAGGAAACUGGGGCUAAUACCGGAUAGGAGCUCCUGCUUCAUGGUGGGGGUUGGAAAGUUUCGGCGGUUGGGGAUGGACUCGCGGCUUAUCAGCUUGUUGGUGGGGUAGUGGCUUACCAAGGCUUUGACGGGUAGCCGGCCUGAGAGGGUGACCGGCCACAUUGGGACUGAGAUACGGCCCAGACUCCAACGGGAGGCAGCAGUGGGGAAUAGAGCACAAUGGGCGGAAGCCUGAUGCAGCAACGCCGCGUGCGGGAUGACGGCCUUCGGGUUGUAAACCGCAUUCGCCUGUGACGAAGCGUGAGUGACGGUAAUGGGUAAAGAAGCACCGGCUAACUACGUG
Molecule: ribosomal RNA, 468 nt
Filed under: uncultured bacterium
Lineage: Bacteria
Description: partial 16S ribosomal RNA
Rfam family: Bacterial small subunit ribosomal RNA
Source: RNAcentral